UAAGUGGCAAUCUCGGUAGUUAGAGUAGCAAAAUUCACUAAUUUUUGUAUGUGUAAGAGAGAGAUACAAUGAACCGUUCAAAAAUCGCCGCCAUGGCCGCUGUUCAUUUGACAAAACAAAAUUUUAAGUGAAUGGAUAUAAUUAUACAUGUGUGCACAGCAAAGGAGGAGCAAGGAGGUGACGAUGAAAUUGGUGGAGGUUUAUGGAUUUAUAAUUGGUGCAAUAUAUAACAACAACAACGCAGAAAACAAUGGAAAAUAACAUGAUAUUGACAGACAGGUCCUUCUCCACCUGGUCCUUCCAUCGGAGUGGAGGUCUCCCUCUUCCUCGGCUUCCACCAGCGGGUACCGCAUUGAAAACUUUCAGAGCUGAGGCACUUUCGUCCAUUCGAACAACAUGGCCAAGCCCGCGUAGCCGCUGUUUUUUAUUCGCUGGACUAUGCCUAUGUCGUCGAACAACACAUACAGCUCAUCAUUUCAUCUUCUGCGGUAUUCGCCGUUGCCAAUGUUUAAGGGAUCAUAAAUCUUCCGCAAAACCUUUCUCUCGAAAACUCCUAGUGCCGUCUUAUCGGAUGUUGACACCGUCCACGCUUCUGCACCAUACAGUAGGACGGGAAUGAUGAGGGACUUGUAGAGUUUAGUUUUUGUUCAUCGAGAGAGGACUUUACUUUUCAAUUGCCUACUCAGUCCAUAAACACAAAUACUUUGCACAAAUGGAGGAUUACAAUAGCUACAACUUUUCUUAGGCAUGAUAAACAAGACAACAACAAAUCCCAUCGUACAUUUAGAUUAGCAGUUGUCCAACCUCUUUCCGACGAGCUUAACCCUUUUAUGAUGUACAUAUGAGAUAGGAUUGUGUGGAAUUGACAUCAAACAAUAUUGGUUGAGUAGUUUCGUUGGAACCUUACAGAAUAGUUGUAAGGAAAUCGUUCGCGUUUAGUACUAAUGUAUUCAUUUUGAAUUAUGAAUUGAUAUAAAUUAUGAAUUAGAUUUAAAUGUAAAAUAUUGUUAAAUUAAACGAAUUUUCGAAUACUAAUAACAGUCGUAAUAGUAGUUGAAUUUUAUUUGUAUUGUAUAACAACAACUACAAAAAAUAAAAAUUUAAUAAUUAAUACUAACUUUAUUUGUAAAAUAUAUAAAUUUUGUCUAUGUAUAAAUGAUAGCUGCAAAAACGUUUGUAAAA
Long non-coding RNA from Zeugodacus cucurbitae (melon fly), 1182 nucleotides. RefSeq lists it as uncharacterized. Lineage: Eukaryota; Metazoa; Arthropoda; Insecta; Diptera; Tephritidae. The record is from RefSeq and is a predicted model, not a curated record. The transcript has 5 exons.